AUGCACUUUUCUAUUUGGUGCUUGUAGACGUUAUGGGAAAGUUGUCUCUCUCGCUACAUCUCUCUCCCACUCCCCAUCCCUCCCUCCCUGCUUCUCUUCGUCUAUCAUGUGCUUGGGAUAUGCUCAUGCUUUGCACAGAGCAGCCGAAGCACGCCUAAUGCAGGCUACUGAGUGUUAGCGGCAAUUUUAAAGUGAUGCCCCCCCCACCAAAUAUAAUACGGCUGGGAUAUUUGAGGGGGAACAUAUAGGACCACAUCACGGUACACACGGACCCAGCUGUUCUUCUCCUGCUUGGGACGCUUUCUGGUCAAUUGCAGUGAUUUGACCCACCUUUGGGAAUGAUGGAGAAAUGGAGCUGUGGAGAACUGCAGGCAGCAGGAAGUAGAGGUCAACACAAGAUCUCUGGGAUUUUGCUCAACACCGGACGCACAUGAGGUUGGAUGGAGACCUCAUAGAUCAUGACCCAGAAACAAAUGGCAUAAUGACUGGAGUCUCCAGGCUAAAGAUGUCAAG
Non-coding RNA from Plectropomus leopardus (leopard coralgrouper), 513 nucleotides. NCBI's taxonomy places the organism in Eukaryota, Metazoa, Chordata, Actinopteri, Perciformes, Serranidae. The record is from RefSeq and is a predicted model, not a curated record.